This is a long non-coding RNA of Octopus sinensis (East Asian common octopus), 283 nucleotides long. RefSeq lists it as uncharacterized. Lineage: Eukaryota; Metazoa; Mollusca; Cephalopoda; Octopoda; Octopodidae. The transcript is spliced from 3 exons. The record is from RefSeq and is a predicted model, not a curated record.
GCAGAACUUUCAGCAUCCAAUCAGAAGCGAGUAUUUUACACAUCACCGUGGCCAACAACUCUGUUUCCAUAGUAACCAAAGCAAAGAAGCAUCACGUGUUCCAUAGCUGAUUGCCAAGAACUCUCUUUCCAUCGUAACCAAAGGCGCUGUGCAUGCGCACAAGGAGUAUAACCACCACGUGUUCUAUAAUUGUUUGUUUUCAGAAUAGAAGGAAUUCGAUUCUAGAACGAUAUAGAGAUUUUAGCAACAGUGACGAGAAAAAAAAUUUGUAAGGAAGAACAUC